Molecule: long non-coding RNA, 721 nt
Organism: Alligator sinensis (Chinese alligator)
Lineage: Eukaryota; Metazoa; Chordata; Crocodylia; Alligatoridae
Exons: 3
Source: RefSeq, a predicted model, not a curated record
UGCAUGGCCUUGGGAAUACUGAAUUGCCCGUGGAGUACACUGGCUUCCAGGAUGAAGAUUUUCAGGGUGUCAAACUCAGCCUGCCCUAUGGGCAAGAUGAGAGUUAGUAGGCUGGUCUGUGGGCCACAUCAAGCCUUGAUGGAGCCAGAGCACUAACAAUAUCAUCAAAAUGAUGUAACGAAAGAAGCCUUCUUAUGUGAUGGCAGAAUGACAGACUUCAGACAACUAUCAAAGUGUUCUUCAACAACCCCAGUUAGUAUUCAUGAUCAAAAUAACAAGUGCUCACUAUGUUGUACCUACAAUUCAAGGACUUCCCCACAGAAAUGAAUCACCUAGUUCAACUGCAUCUCUUAGAUCACCAAGGAAAUUCACGUUUACUCCAUCUCUGAUUUGAUCAGACUUUAACUGUUGAUUGCUCUGUGGCAGCCAUUUCUUUUUUUCCCCUUCAUGUUAAAAAUUUAAUGUUUCAAACGUCUUCAGAACCUAAGUUAUUUAUAAAUAAAGGGAGGACGGGUGGGGAUUUCUCUCUCAUAAUUUCAAACUACUUAUAACAAAUUGAAUGCAUCUGAUCCUCAUGACACAGCCUGCUACUUAGUGGUUCAAAUCAGAGACUCUUCUUUUUUCACUCCUAGAGAAAGAUCCUAAAUCUAUUUAAAGCAAAAGAAAUUUCAUUUUUAGAACAAGGUUGCAACAUUUCAGUUACUACUCACAUAAAAAGGAU